RNAcentral lists this ribosomal RNA (606 nucleotides) under uncultured archaeon. Its description in RNAcentral is "bacterial SSU rRNA". It matches the Rfam family "Archaeal small subunit ribosomal RNA", at positions 315 to 921 of the family's 1478-position model. The record is from RNAcentral.
UCCAGGCCCUACGGGGUGCAGCAGGCGCGAAACCUCCGCAAUGUGAGAAAUCGCGACGGGGGGAUCCCAAGUGCCAUUCUUAACGGGAUGGCUUUUCAUUAGUGUAAAGAGCUUUUGGAAUAAGAGCUGGGCAAGACCGGUGCCAGCCGCCGCGGUAACACCGGCAGCUCUAGUGGUAGCAGUUUUUAUUGGGCCUAAAGCGUCCGUAGCCGGUUUAAUAAGUCUCUGGUGAAAUCCUGCAGCUUAACUGUGGGAAUUGCUGGAGAUACUAUUAGACUUGAGAUCGGGAGAGGUUAGAGGUACUCCCAGGGUAGAGGUGAAAUUCUGUAAUCCUGGGAGGACCGCCUGUUGCGAAGGCGUCUGACUGGAACGAUUCUGACGGUGAGGGACGAAAGCUAGGGGCGCGAACCGGAUUAGAUACCCGGGUAGUCCUAGCUGUAAACGAUGCGGACUUGGUGUUGGGGUGGCUUUGAGCUGUCCCAGUGCCGAAGGGAAGCUGUUAAGUCCGCCGCCUGGGAAGUACGGUCGCAAGACUGAGACUUAAAGGAAUUGGCGGGGGAGCACCACAACGCGUGGAGCCUGCGGUUUAAUUGGAGUCAACGCCGG